This is a long non-coding RNA of Saccostrea cuccullata (small rock oyster), 585 nucleotides long. RefSeq lists it as uncharacterized. Lineage: Eukaryota; Metazoa; Mollusca; Bivalvia; Ostreida; Ostreidae. The record is from RefSeq and is a predicted model, not a curated record. The transcript is spliced from 4 exons.
CUUGUGGAUAAUGGAUGUUGACAUGAUGAUGCAAGCUCGCCAGUGUUUAAAACCAAUAUUUAGCUUGAUUUAGCCACUGCAGUAUAAAGAAAGAAGCAGACCAGAAACCUUUGGCUAAAGCAAAGAUGAUAUGCAUAUCAAAAGCAGUUACAUAAUUUACAAGAGUCUGAAGUUAUGAUGACCAUGCAGAAUCAAGAUAUUGUAACAAAGACAUGCCUGCAUGAAGAAGACCAUUCACUCAAUUUUUCAGAAUAAUGUGUCAGAUUGAAAUUCAUCUUAUGUUGGACAAAACAAUCAGGACAUUCUUCUGGAUCACAGCUAGCACAAAGUAUUGACAAAACCAAAGAUUUAUCAUUACCUGGUAGUCUGCAGAUGGAGUGAUCAUUGGAUGAGCCAGACAACACCAUUUUCCUCAGAAAUUUUAGAAUAUAGACUUGAUCUCCAUCUUCAUUCAUAGAUGACUGAUGUUGACAUUUUCUCACUUCUGUUUCAUGUCUUUUCUACAGCAUGGACUCUCCAGCAUCAGUGGACGCUUGACAUUUAUAAACAUUUAUUCUUCUGAAUUUGAUCUGAUAUCCUUAAAUA